GACGAACGCUGGCGGCGUGCUUAACACAUGCAAGUCGAACGGAAAGGCCCUGCUUGCAGGGUACUCGAGUGGCGAACGGGUGAGUAACACGUGGGUGAUCUGCCCUGCACUUCGGGAUAAGCCUGGGAAACUGGGUCUAAUACCGGAUGGGAGCCAUUUUUAGUGUGAUGGUUGGAAAGUUUUUUCGGUGUAGGAUGAGCUCGCGGCCUAUCAGCUUGUUGGUGGGGUAAUGGCCUACCAAGGCGGCGACGGGUAGCCGGCCUGAGAGGGUGGACGGCCACAUUGGGACUGAGAUACGGCCCAGACUCCUACGGGAGGCAGCAGUGGGGAAUAUUGCACAAUGGGCGCAAGCCUGAUGCAGCGACGCCGCGUGGGGGAUGACGGCCUUCGGGUUGUAAACUCCUUUCGCUAGGGACGAAGCUUUUUGUGACGGUACCUAGAUAAGAAGCACCGGCUAACUACGUG
This 465-nucleotide ribosomal RNA is filed under the name uncultured bacterium. RNAcentral describes it as "partial 16S ribosomal RNA". It matches the Rfam family "Bacterial small subunit ribosomal RNA", at positions 28 to 507 of the family's 1533-position model. The record is from RNAcentral.